Ochotona princeps (American pika) is the source of this 556-nucleotide long non-coding RNA. RefSeq lists it as uncharacterized. The record is from RefSeq and is a predicted model, not a curated record. The transcript has 4 exons. Lineage: Eukaryota; Metazoa; Chordata; Mammalia; Lagomorpha; Ochotonidae.
AAAACCUGGGUCAAAAAGAAGAAAUGACUUUACAAGGAUAAUAUGUGUGAUGUCUUCAGGAUGCUUGGUGAGGAGAGUGGAAAAGCAAGGACAUGGGAGUGAAUUCUCCUUUUCAUGAAUGUAUUCCCAAGAUGACAGAAGUGGAUGAAGUGAUGAGAUGCACAGCUAUAGGAUGUUAACCACUGGUGUGUUCCACUCCAUUUGACAUAAACAACGGAUAAAAUUCAAGACACUGACUUGCUUCAAAACAUUCAAAGUUAUCCAACAUCUCACGAACCAGCCUAGUCAAGCCAGCUGCUGUUGAGACUCGUGCUACCUGCAGGGUCUCACAUAAGCUAUUGCUACAGACCUAUGAAGUACCAGACAUGAGAAGAUACAUGGAGUACUAGGAGCACACAUCGUCCAGUUACAGAGGGGAAUCUCCAGUUUGAAAAGAAGCAGCCCUAAAUAUCACUGAGAUAUUCCCUGCUUGUUGUUGAAAAACUAAUAUCAGACAUACAACAUACUCUUUGUUUAGUACACAGCUACGAAAUGAAUCAACAAUGUCAUAUCUGAG